AUGCUCACUUCAGCAACACAUGUACUAAAAUUGGAAUGAUACAAAGAAGUUUAGCCUUCUUGCAAGGAUGUCACACAGAUUCCUGAGGCAUUCUAUAGUUUU
This is a small nuclear RNA of Phyllostomus discolor (pale spear-nosed bat), 102 nucleotides long. The record is from RefSeq and is a predicted model, not a curated record. NCBI's taxonomy places the organism in Eukaryota, Metazoa, Chordata, Mammalia, Chiroptera, Phyllostomidae.